RNAcentral lists this ribosomal RNA (301 nucleotides) under uncultured bacterium. Its description in RNAcentral is "partial 16S ribosomal RNA". It matches the Rfam family "Bacterial small subunit ribosomal RNA", at positions 509 to 807 of the family's 1533-position model. The record is from RNAcentral.
CAGUAGCCGCGGUAAUACGGAGGGAGCUAGCGUUACUCGGAAUUACUGGGCGUAAAGCGCACGUAGGCGGCUUUGUAAGUUAGAGGUGAAAGCCUGGAGCUCAACUCCAGAAUUGCCUUUAAGACUGCAUCGCUUGAAUCCAGGAGAGGUGAGUGGAAUUCCGAGUGUAGAGGUGAAAUUCGUAGAUAUUCGGAAGAACACCAGUGGCAAAGGCGGCUCACUGGACUGGUAUUGACGCUGAGGUGCGAAAGCGUGGGGAGCAAACAGGAUUAGAUACCCCUGUAGUCCCUGUCUCUUAUAC